Molecule: small RNA, 104 nt
Filed under: Salmonella enterica
Lineage: Bacteria; Pseudomonadati; Pseudomonadota; Gammaproteobacteria; Enterobacterales; Enterobacteriaceae
Also listed under: 1 other name
Description: partial RtT sRNA
Rfam family: RtT RNA
About the family: This family represents a bacterial cis-regulatory element known as RtT RNA. The exact function of RtT is unknown although it is thought that it may be involved in changing the cellular response in relation to amino acid starvation.
Source: RNAcentral
AUAUCUCUCCGUACGGGAAGGAUGAGAAGCUUCGACUAAGGUUCGAUUCGAGCGCAGCGAGAAAGCGUUGCCGCAGGCAACGACCCGAAGGGCGAAGCGCGCAG